CUCGCUUCCAGGUUUUUUUUCGUCCCACCUCACAUGGUUUUUUUUGGUACCUCCUCCCACCUCUGACUUAUCCACCAGAAACCAAAAAAACCUCCUCCUGAGGCCCCAACCCGCACCCAUCCACGUACAAAAAAAUAGACCUACGAAGGUUAACCAACGAAAAAAGACCUACGAAGGUUAACCAGCGACGAAAAAACCUAAACCUAUCGCCCGCUCCCUCGCGCCCCUGUUGCUCCCUCCUCAAUCCCGAUCUGGAUCGAGGGGACGAGGAGCUCCUGCCUCCCCGACGGCCGGCCUCCUCCUCGCCCCGCCGCUGCAUCCGGUGCCGCCACGGGCUCUGGAGCCAGGGAAGCCAUGGCCUGAGCUCGGCCUCGAGGUCCCCCCGCCGUCUCCUGCAGCUUCUGCCCCGCCGCCUCAACGCCCGAGCUCGCCAUCACACCAACCUCGGCGCCGCGCCGCCGCCGGCUCUGGUCGCCUCCACCUCCGCUCCAGGCAACCCUCGGUCGCCGGCUCGCUGGAGCACGACGGUAGACGAUGGAUGCCCUGGUUGUGUGUGACGGUUGCAGUUCUUACGCGCAAGCUAGGGUUGGAGCCGCCAGCUCUUCAUCUUGCCCGCCGGCGGCGAGUCUUCCCGUCCCGCACUGCCGCCUCCCCGUUAUCACAGCAUGGUCAAAACAAUGGUGCCUUCACCCUUGCUCGUGCCUCAACCCACAUGGUCAUCUUUGAGACGUGGUAUUCAGUCACAUGACAGAGUUCUCUUUAUCCUUGAGGUCAGGUGCGGCAACUAGCGACAUGUGCUGGAACUUCUGGCUUCGCUGGCGGCGGCAUCACCUGCAUCGACCUCUCCCUGGUCGCCUUCGAGAGUGUGUGCGGCCGACCAUCAAGCUUGUUAUGACGCACUUUGAAUUUCCGAGCAAGUCGCAGCCUUUUCAGAUUCAUCAACACAGGUUACAUCAGUAGUCAAUAUGGUUCAGAUGCAUAAUAGUACGUACUUCAUUUCCUUUUUGUUGUGUACGGUGUCCUACAACAUGGAUCAUAUAUAUCGGUUAUCUUUCAGGUUCAGUUUGCUGUGGCGAAUUCUUCUUGAAUUUGUUGCAGCAAACUUGUGGUCAUGUAUGGUUUUUAGUUUUGUAAGCAUGCAUAGUUUAGAAGUUAGAAAGCUCGUUCAUGUAUUGUUCUAAACUGAAAGUUUAAGUGGCUUUUCCACCCAUGGUAUUGUGGUGGUCAUAAUAGCACACCUCACAAUUAUUAUGGCCAGAUCUACAAGCACUGAGCGUUGUGUUUUUUAGCCCCCUCUGUUUCUCCUGGGCAUCAAUCUAUGCGCAACAAGCUCUUCAGUGCUUGAUGACAAAUAAAGGUUGCAUCUUAGAUAUUUGCUUGAUUUGAAUGAGCCAUUUUGCUGUCAGCUAAACUGUUAAAAGUCAGAUGUAAGAUUAUGUUUCUUGGCACAUGAGUUAUUUUUCAGUCAACGCGUGGCGAGUCCACUUCGAACUGAUAUAUGCACUUUUUAUUUGAAACUGAACCACCAUGGUUUAAUUUUAUUUUCAUUUGGACAAGUUACCCCAAGUAUCAUCAGUUCAUGAUGACUGGUUUGGUGUGAUGAAUUGAUCCUGGUGCUGAUUUAAGAGUUUUUUAUGACGCUGUCUUGUAAGGGAGUAAGGUCUGGUAUCUAUAUGGCUGUUAUUUUAGCUCUUACAGAUUGCCAUAUAUGACAUGCUAAUUGUUUUUAGCUCUUGAUAUAGUUAAACUUUUUUUUUCGAAACGGAGGCAAAAGAUUUGCCUCAUCCAUUAAAUGGGAGGAGAAUAGAGUUAAACUUUGGAUGCACCAGUGCCUGAUGCAUAUGUUUGUUUACUUGGUUUGAACUCUGAAUGAUAUGUUGUUAUCCUGCAUGCAUGCCUGAUGAGUUGGUGCUGCUGGUAUUUUGAGGAGGCAAGUUGUGGUUUUACUCCUGGCCCUGAGAAGGGUGAACUAGGCCAUAGCGAGGGCGCCUUCAGGAACAUCGAGUCAGGGUGCCUCACUUUCUAUUUCAGUCUGCGAGGUAAUGAAGGCAAAAAAAAGUUUCUACUCGCCCUGUUCUUGCAACUAAACAGAGAAAAACUGUGUGGUUACUGAAGCAUUAUGGUCUAUAGUUACCGAAGCAUUGCAUUUGUUGAGAAAGUGUUCCUUAUACCAUGUAAGUAGGGACAAUUACUAUUUAACUAGGUACAAUUAAUAUUUAACAAGCCACAGUUGAUCAAGCAGUCAAUGCUUAAAUAUGCCCGUACUCUGUCGUAUCCAGGAUGGAGCUUUGCUAGCUUUUGAGUUGGAUUCUUUUGACUGCACCUAAAUAUGACAAGCCGACAGUAAAUGAGCUCAUUUUAAAAAACUGCAGUUUAAAGGAAAUUAUUACAAUAUGUAUAUCAAUUCCAACAUUGCUAUCUGAAGGAUGAUUUAAGGACUAUUUGUCUCUGAUGGCUUUCCCUGUUUGGCUCCCUUUUCUGUGAGUUGACUCUACAGUUCUAGGAUCUUCUCUGUAACCAUAAAUUCACAGCUUAGCAAAAGUAUAUAUAUACUUGCUAGACCUUCUCAUUACACUCUUUCACUUUUUUGGACUAAUACUAUCCUGUAUAGACCUAAUAACAGAAGACAUGGGAAAUGCUUUUGUAACAUGAUGUUUUUUUUUGUUAGAUGCUCUGUUUAUUUAGUGUCGUUGAUCCAAAAACUUGAAAGUGUAGAAAUGUUCAUGCAUGGGACUAUAGAACCAAGUAUUUCUCGAUUUGGUGAUGCUUAAUUCAGAGUUCUUAUGCAUCAGAUUGGAGUGUUAACACAAACCUGUUAUUUAUUUCACUUCAUAUGAGUUAAUGCCAAGGCCUUUUUUGUGUCCCCUCUAAUCAUUGCAUUUGUAUCUUGAUCAUUGUAUUACGAGAAGCAAAAUAUUUCUCAUGUUUUGCUCAGUGUGUCUACUUAUCUUAUUUAUUAUAUUAACUAUUUUUUGAUGAUAUUUCACAAGAAUGACAUUGUUAGAUUUAGAUUCAUUAGGUUUCAACACAUUUGAUGGUAGGCCAUUUCAAUAAUUCUAUUUGUUUCAGGCAUUGGUAGAUUGUGUUACAACUGAAGAGUUUCUUGUGCUAAUACUUGCAGAUCUCGACACACCCUGAACAAUGAGCACAUGUUACCAGCCACAUUCCACACAGGAUGUGUUCUUUUCAAAACAAAGAUACCCUGAUACAUGAUUAUUCCUCUUUCAAGUUCUUGAUCCUUGAAGAUACUUGCUAGGUUUCUAGCUGAUUUUUUGGUAGUAUAAGGCUAUAAGCUCGAUGUAUAUGGCCUGAAUAUGAUCUGAUUCAGAGUACAUUGUGUUCUGAAGCUUUUUACUGUAUGGUUCUCUCUUGAAAGAAUUCAAGCCAUUGUUCAAUGGGAGAGAAUAGUUGUAAUCCUCAAAUAACUGUCGUACCUAUUCAUCAGCUGACACAAUUGCCACCGAGAUCAUUAUUUUCCUUUUUUUUCAGGUUUUCAACAUCACGAAUUUCAUACUUAUGGAGUGGAGCUACCAAAAUAUCUAUUGAGGAAAUAUGUCGAAGCACAGAAUAUAUUCCAUAUGCAGUGGACUAAUAGAACGACACAACACAUAAAAAGAGGAGUAUAAGUGGAAACCUUUCUUUCUCUUUAAAUUCUUGAGGACUGUAACAUUAUGAUGAAGGUGGAACCAUAGAGAGAUGUGUAUUUUUAAUUGAGAUAUUUUCAGGAGUACCUUUGCAAAGCUGAUAUAUCUUUCUUUUACAAGAUAUGGUUGCACUUGCUUCAUCUACAUAGGCCGUCUGGAAUGCCAUGAGGCCGGGAUUUGUGUAGGAAAUCUUCAAAGCUAUUAUAUUGGUCUCAAGAAACUUGCAAUACAUCAAUGCAUUUUUAUUUUUA
Triticum aestivum (bread wheat) is the source of this 3895-nucleotide long non-coding RNA. RefSeq lists it as uncharacterized. The record is from RefSeq and is a predicted model, not a curated record. Lineage: Eukaryota; Viridiplantae; Streptophyta; Magnoliopsida; Poales; Poaceae. The transcript has 4 exons.